UCUUGGUUCCAUUAGAGGAAGUAAAAGUCGUAACAAGGUUUCCGUAGGUGAACCUGCGGAAGGAUCAUUACCGAGUGAGGGCCCUUUGGGUCCAACCUCCCACCCGUGUUUAUUUACCUCGUUGCUUCGGCGGGCCCGCCUUAACUGGCCGCCGGGGGGCUCACGCCCCCGGGCCCGCGCCCGCCGAAGACACCCCCGAACUCUGCCUGAAGAUUGUCGUCUGAGUGAAAAUAUAAAUUAUUUAAAACUUUCAACAACGGAUCUCUUGGUUCCGGCAUCGAUGAAGAACGCAGCGAAAUGCGAUACGUAAUGUGAAUUGCAAAUUCAGUGAAUCAUCGAGUCUUUGAACGCACAUUGCGCCCCCUGGUAUUCCGGGGGGCAUGCCUGUCCGAGCGUCAUUGCUGCCCUCAAGCCCGGCUUGUGUGUUGGGCCCCGUCCUCCGAUUCCGGGGGACGGGCCCGAAAGGCAGCGGCGGCACCGCGUCCGGUCCUCGAGCGUAUGGGGCUUUGUCACCCGCUCUGUAGGCCCGGCCGGCGCUUGCCGAUCAACCCAAAUUUUUAUCCAGGUGACCUCGGAUCAGGUAGUAGGCGUGGAUUCCGAC
This 601-nucleotide ribosomal RNA is filed under the name Penicillium expansum. Its description in RNAcentral is "eukaryotic LSU rRNA". The stretch from base 246 to 398 matches the Rfam family "5.8S ribosomal RNA". The record is from RNAcentral. Lineage: Eukaryota; Fungi; Ascomycota; Eurotiomycetes; Eurotiales; Aspergillaceae.